CCUACGGGAGGCAGCAGUGGGGAAUAUUGCACAAUGGGGGAAACCCUGAUGCAGCGACGCCGCGUGAAGGAAGAAGUAUCUCGGUAUGUAAACUUCUAUCAGCAGGGAAGAUAAUGACGGUACCUGACUAAGAAGCCCCGGCUAACUACGUGCCAGCAGCCGCGGUAAUACGUAGGGGGCAAGCGUUAUCCGGAUUUACUGGGUGUAAAGGGAGCGUAGGCGGCGGAGCAAGUCAGAAGUGAAAGCCCGGGGCUCAACCCCGGGACGGCUUUUGAAACUGCCCUGCUUGAUUUCAGGAGAGGUAAGCGGAAUUCCUAGUGUAGCGGUGAAAUGCGUAGAUAUUAGGAGGAACACCAGUGGCGAAGGCGGCUUACUGGACUGACAAUGACGCUGAGGCUCGAAAGCGUGGGGAGCAAACAGGAUU
RNAcentral lists this ribosomal RNA (424 nucleotides) under uncultured Flintibacter sp. RNAcentral describes it as "bacterial SSU rRNA". It matches the Rfam family "Bacterial small subunit ribosomal RNA", at positions 338 to 779 of the family's 1533-position model. The record is from RNAcentral. Lineage: Bacteria; Bacillati; Bacillota; Clostridia; Eubacteriales.